This 392-nucleotide ribosomal RNA is filed under the name uncultured bacterium. RNAcentral's name for it is "bacterial SSU rRNA". It matches the Rfam family "Bacterial small subunit ribosomal RNA", at positions 618 to 1009 of the family's 1533-position model. The record is from RNAcentral.
GAGGCGCCUUCGAUACUGCUGCUCUUGAGUCCCGGAGAGGCUGUCGGAAUUCGUGGUGUAGCGGUGAAAUGCGUAGAGAUCGGGAGGAAUACCAGUGGCGAAGGCGGCCUUCUGGACUGACACUGACACUGAGGUGCGAAAGCGUGGGUAGCAAACAGGAUUAGAUACCCUGGUAGUCCACGCCGUAAACGAUGUCGACCAGCCGUUGGGUGCCUAGCGCACUUUGUGGCGAAGUUAACGCGAUAAGUCGACCGCCUGGGGAGUACGGCCGCAAGGUUAAAACUCAAAUGAAUUGACGGGGGCCCGCACAAGCGGUGGAGCAUGUGGUUUAAUUCGAUGCAACGCGAAGAACCUUACCUACUCUUGACAUCCUGCGAACUUGUGAGAGAUCA